RNAcentral lists this ribosomal RNA (369 nucleotides) under uncultured organism. RNAcentral describes it as "bacterial SSU rRNA". It matches the Rfam family "Bacterial small subunit ribosomal RNA", at positions 526 to 896 of the family's 1533-position model. The record is from RNAcentral.
CGUAGGUGGCAAGCGUUGUCCGGAUUUAUUGGGUUUAAAAGGGUGCGUAGGCGGUCUUGUAAGUCAGUGGUGAAAUCCGGCAGCUUAACUGUCGAUGUGCCAUUGAUACUGCAGGACUUGAGUACAGACGAGGUAGGCGGAAUUGACGGUGUAGCGGUGAAAUGCUUAGAUAUCGUCAAGAACACCGAUAGCGAAGGCAGCUUACUAGACUGUAACUGACGCUGAUGCACGAAAGUGUGGGGAUCAAACAGGAUUAGAUACCCUGGUAGUCCACACUGUAAACGAUGAUUACUCGAUGUUGGCGAUACACAGCCAGCGUCUUAGCGAAAGCGAUAAGUAAUCCACCUGGGGAGUACGCCGGCAACGGUG